UACGUAGGGGGCAAGCGUUGUCCGGAUUUAUUGGGCGUAAAGAGCGUGUAGGCGGUUUGGUAGGUCCGCUGUGAAAACUCGAGGCUCAACCUCGAGACGCCGGUGGAAACCAUCAGGCUAGAGUCCGGAAGAGGAGAGUGGAAUUCCUGGUGUAGCGGUGAAAUGCGCAGAUAUCAGGAAGAACACCCGUGGCUAAGGCGGCUCUCUGGGACGGUACUGACGCUGAGACGCGAAAGCGUGGGGAGCGAACAGG
Molecule: ribosomal RNA, 253 nt
Filed under: uncultured bacterium
Lineage: Bacteria
Description: partial 16S ribosomal RNA
Rfam family: Bacterial small subunit ribosomal RNA
Source: RNAcentral